This 229-nucleotide ribosomal RNA is filed under the name uncultured bacterium. RNAcentral's name for it is "partial 16S ribosomal RNA". It matches the Rfam family "Bacterial small subunit ribosomal RNA", at positions 568 to 796 of the family's 1533-position model. The record is from RNAcentral.
CGUGUAGGCGGUUUAGUAAGUCGGAUGUGAAAUUCUCGGGCUCAACCCGGGCACUGCAUCCGAAACUACAAAACUUGAGUACUGGAGAGGAUAGUGGAAUUCCUAGUGUAGCGGUAAAAUGCGUAGAUAUUAGGAGGAACACCGGUGGCGAAGGCGACUAUCUGGACAGUAACUGACGCUGAGGCGCGAAAGCGUGGGGAGCAAACAGGAUUAGAUACCCUGGUAGUCC